UACGGCGGGGGCGAGGGAUAUCCGGAAUCACUGGGUUUAAAGUGUGCGUAGGCGGCUUGGUAAGUCAGUUGUGAAAGCCCCUUGCUUAACGAGGGAGGUGCGAUUGAUACUGUCGAGCUUGAAUCGGGAAGAGGCAGGCGAAAUGUGGCAUGUAGCGGUGAAAUGCAUAGAUAUGCCAUAGAACACCGAUUGCGAAGGCAGCCUGCUGGGCCUGUAUUGACGCUGAGGCACGAAAGCGUGGGGAGCAAACAGG
RNAcentral lists this ribosomal RNA (253 nucleotides) under uncultured bacterium. Its description in RNAcentral is "partial 16S ribosomal RNA". It matches the Rfam family "Bacterial small subunit ribosomal RNA", at positions 524 to 776 of the family's 1533-position model. The record is from RNAcentral.